This 1467-nucleotide ribosomal RNA is filed under the name metagenome. RNAcentral describes it as "bacterial LSU rRNA". It matches the Rfam family "Bacterial large subunit ribosomal RNA", at positions 1472 to 2912 of the family's 2925-position model. The record is from RNAcentral.
CUGGAGAAGGCUAUGUUGGCCGGGCGACGGUUGUCCCGGUUUAAGCGUGUAGGCUGGUUUUCCAGGCAAAUCCGGAAAAUCAAGGCUGAGGCGUGAUGACGAGGCACUACGGUGCUGAAGCAACAAAUGCCCUGCUUCCAGGAAAAGCCUCUAAGCAUCAGGUAACAUCAAAUCGUACCCCAAACCGACACAGGUGGUCAGGUAGAGAAUACCAAGGCGCUUGAGAGAACUCGGGUGAAGGAACUAGGCAAAAUGGUGCCGUAACUUCGGGAGAAGGCACGCUGAUAUGUAGGUGAAGCGACUUGCUCGUGGAGCUGAAAUCAGUCGAAGAUACCAGCUGGCUGCAACUGUUUAUUAAAAACACAGCACUGUGCAAACACGAAAGUGGACGUAUACGGUGUGACGCCUCCCCGGUGCCGGAAGGUUAAUUGAUGGGGUUAGCGCAAGCGAAGCUCUUGAUCGGAGCCCCGGUAAACGGCGGCCGUAACAAUAACGGUCCUAAGGUAGCGAAAUUCCUUGUCGGGUAAGUUCCGACCUGCACGAAUGGCGUAAUGAUGGCCAGGCUGUCUCCACCCGAGACUCAGUGAAAUUGAACUCGCUGUGAAGAUGCAGUGUACCCGCGGCAAGACGGAAAGACCCCGUGAACCUUUACUAUAGCUUGACACUGAACAUUGAGCCUUGAUGUGUAGGAUAGGUGGGAGGCUUAGAAGUGUGGACGCCAGUCUGCAUGGAGCCGACCUUGAAAUACCACCCUUUAAUGUUUGAUGUUCUAACGUUGACCCGUAAUCCGGGUUGCGGACAGUGUCUGGUGGGUAGUUUGACUGGGGCGGUCUCCUCCUAAAGAGUAACGGAGGAGCACGAAGGUUGGCUAAUCCUGGUCGGACAUCAGGAGGUUAGUGCAAUGGCAUAAGCCAGCUUGACCGCGAGCGUGACGGCGCGAGCAGGUGCGAAAGCAGGUCAUAGUGAUCCGGUGGUUCUGAAUGGAAGGGCCAUCGUUCAACGGAUAAAAGGUACUCCGGGGAUAACAGGCUGAUACCGCCCAAGAGUUCAUAUCGACGGCGGUGUUUGGCACCUCGAUGUCGGCUCAUCACAUCCUGGGGCUGAAGUAGGUCCCAAGGGUAUGGCUGUUCGCCAUUUAAAGUGGUACGCGAGCUGGGUUUAGAACGUCGUGAGACAGUUCGGUCCCUAUCUGCCGUGGGCGCUGGAGAACUGAGGGGGGCUGCUCCUAGUACGAGAGGACCGGAGUGGACGCAUCACUGGUGUUCGGGUUGUCAUGCCAAUGGCACUGCCCGGUAGCUAAAUGCGGAAGAGAUAAGUGCUGAAAGCAUCUAAGCACGAAACUUGCCCCGAGAUGAGUUCUCCCUGACCCUUUAAGGGUCCUGAAGGAACGUUGAAGACGACGACGUUGAUAGGCCGGGUGUGUAAGCGCAGCGAUGCGUUGAGCUAACCGGUACUAAUGAACCGUGA